UACGUAGGGGGCUAGCGUUGUCCGGAUUUAUUGGGCGUAAAGCGCGUGUAGGCGGCCCGGUAAGUCCGCCGUGAAAGUCCAGGGCUCAACCCUGGAAUGCCGGUGGAAACUGCCGGGCUGGAGUCCGGAAGAGGCGAGUGGAAUUCCUGGUGUAGCGGUGAAAUGCGCAGAUAUCAGGAGGAACACCAAUGGCGAAGGCAGCUCGCUGGGACGGUACUGACGCUGAGACGCGAAAGCGUGGGGAGCGAACAGG
RNAcentral lists this ribosomal RNA (253 nucleotides) under uncultured bacterium. Its description in RNAcentral is "partial 16S ribosomal RNA". It matches the Rfam family "Bacterial small subunit ribosomal RNA", at positions 524 to 776 of the family's 1533-position model. The record is from RNAcentral.